Molecule: long non-coding RNA, 248 nt
Organism: Xenopus laevis (African clawed frog)
Lineage: Eukaryota; Metazoa; Chordata; Amphibia; Anura; Pipidae
Exons: 2
Source: RefSeq, a predicted model, not a curated record
GUGGCCUGCAGCUUUGUCGUCCGGGUACGUCACCAAGACGCGCCCCCGACGUCCUGAAGUCAUUACGUCAUUCGUACCCAAGGUGCGUGUGAAACCCUGUUUUUAUCAAGGUCCUGGAGGACACUCAUUCAUGCCUUUAGAAAAAGAAAAAUGUCAUUGGUUACACAGCGGGGACUGAUUUUCCCUUUUACCAGAUAAAUCUGCUUUCAGAUAUUGCUGACACUUCUCCAGAGGAGAGUACAGAAAGG